Molecule: long non-coding RNA, 1313 nt
Filed under: Fukomys damarensis (Damara mole-rat)
Lineage: Eukaryota; Metazoa; Chordata; Mammalia; Rodentia; Bathyergidae
Description: lncRNA (ENSFDAG00000032904.1)
Source: RNAcentral
GAACGUGAGCCUUCUUUCAACAGCAACGUCGCAGCAUUUGCGCUGAAGGCCAAGGUCAUUUACCCCAUCAAUCAGAAGUUCCGGGUGAGACUCCAAGCUCCUUCUUGGAAAUGCAGUUAACUGUGGAAUCUCCUAGAGCUUGGGGUGGGGUAGAGGGGUUAAAUGAGCGACUCUCAGUCCUAGUCAAGGGUUUUGUGGCAGGCCAUUUUCCACAGAACCUUUAACAGGAACACACACUGGGACCCGCACUUCACUUAGCCGUGUGGUGGCCGAUGAAGUGUAUUUAUACAUCAGCAGCAGCCAUUGUUGGGCCUGUUGGGCAGGCCUAGCAGGGGCUCUAGCGCUUCCUGCAGUGGGGAGAGCGUCAGCCCUCCCUGGAGUGCCUCAAGGUCUGGCAGAUCCAACAUGUGGUAAAUCGGGCCAUGUAGUCAUGACCAAGGAACUUGGGCCCCCAGACCAGUAGACAGUGGUGCAGAGAGGGAGGAGUGGUUCAGCCCAGAAAACAAGGAACAAGGCUGUUGUUCUAGGCAGGGGGAUGAGAGUCUGGGGAGACCAGAAAUAGGCACGGCGAGAGAGUCUGGCUCAGACUGGGCAGCAGGGGACAAGGCUAUGGCACUGGCAGCUGAGGGAGGGCGGAGGAGCCCCUGAACAUGGCUCUGAAGGUGUCCCUGUGGGAGAAGGAGAGCAGGUGGCCGGGUCAGCAGUCUGGGGACAGACGCGAGGCACAGCUGGUGGGCAGGCUGCUGGGGAGAGGUCAGUCCAGCCGCUGGAUGUUGGGCAGGGGAUGUCGGGGACAGAGCAGGCGAUGUUUUGAGGUAGAAGCCUGGGGCUGGCCUCAUAGGACAAGAGCUGGGACGCAAGUCUGGAGCCUGGCUGUGGCUGUGAUCCUGGGCCUUGAGCAGCCUGCUGCAGCCAGGCCCUGCCACCAGCUGUCACCAUGCAUCGCGGAGCAGCUGCGUCCCUGGGCUAACAGGCUGCUCCGCCUCCAGCCCCUGGCUGACGGCUCCUCCAACCCGUCCCUGCACGAGACCCUGAAGCCAGCGGCCCUGCCACACCAGCCGGGGGGACCCUCGCCAUCCAGCAGCCUGGGCAGCCUGAGCCCAGCCGAGAAGGAAGACUGCAGCUCCUCCUGCAGCGCCCGCUCUGCUGCCAGUGAGGACAGACUGCUGUGCCGCGCCUUCCUGAGGGCAAACAGCUUCCCUGAGGUGCUGGCCUGCGAGAGAUUUUUAAAAUGUGCCUCCUGGACCUUCUUCCGAAGAAGAAGUCAGAUGAUGAAUUGCACCAAAAGAUCCUUUCAGAACAAGAACAUGUAA